UACGGAGGGUGCAAGCGUUGUCCGGAUUUAUUGGGUUUAAAGGGUGCGUAGGCGGCCGAUUAAGUCCGGGGUGAAAGCCCGUUGCUCAACAACGGAACUGCCCCGGAAACUGGUGGGCUUGAGUCCAGACGAGGUUGGCGGAAUGGAGGCUGUAGCGGUGAAAUGCAUAGAUAGCCUCCAGAACCCCGAUUGCGAAGGCAGCUGACUAGGCUGGUACUGACGCUGAGGCACGAAAGCGUGGGGAGCGAACAGG
This 253-nucleotide ribosomal RNA is filed under the name uncultured bacterium. Its description in RNAcentral is "partial 16S ribosomal RNA". It matches the Rfam family "Bacterial small subunit ribosomal RNA", at positions 524 to 776 of the family's 1533-position model. The record is from RNAcentral.